GAUGAACGCUGGCGGCGUGCCUAAUACAUGCAAGUCGAGCGGACAGACGAUGAGCUUGCUCCUCUGACGUUAGCGGCGGACGGGUGAGUAACACGUGGAUAACCUACUUAUAAGACUGGGAUAAUUUCGGGAAACCGGAGAUAAUACCGGAUAAUAUAUUGAACCGCAUGGUUCAAUAGUGAAAGACGGUUUUGCUGUCUCUUAUAGAUGGAUCCGCGCUGCAUGAGAUAGUUGGUAAGGUAACGGCUUACCAAGGCGGCGAGGCGUAGCCGACCUGAGAGGGGGAUCGCCCACCCGGGAACUUGACCACGGACCAGGCUCCUAAGGGAGGCAGCAGUAGGGAAUCGUCGGCAAUGGGCGAAAACCUGGCGGAGCGACGCCGCGUGAGUGAUGAAGGUCUUCGGAUCGGAAAACUCUGUUUUUGGGUAAAAACAAAUGUGUAAUUAACUAUACACGGCUUGACGGUACCUAAUCAAAAAGCCACGGCUAACUACGUG
Molecule: ribosomal RNA, 497 nt
Filed under: uncultured bacterium
Lineage: Bacteria
Description: partial 16S ribosomal RNA
Rfam family: Bacterial small subunit ribosomal RNA
Source: RNAcentral